This is a long non-coding RNA of Bombus terrestris (buff-tailed bumblebee), 3116 nucleotides long. RefSeq lists it as uncharacterized. Lineage: Eukaryota; Metazoa; Arthropoda; Insecta; Hymenoptera; Apidae. The transcript has 3 exons. The record is from RefSeq and is a predicted model, not a curated record.
ACGUUAUCCAGUUAUCUACGUUUCAAAUUUAUGAAUAGUACAGUGAAAGAUUGUAUGUACGAUAUUUUACGAAGCAACUGAUAUAAUGUGUGACGAUCUAGCGAUAAAUUAAUUAAUUGAUACUUCAACGCGUAAUUUUGCUACAGGUACCAAAGAGAUCACUGGCAAGAGUCAGGUCUGUCGCGCAGGUAAACCACUCGUUGCAUUCCCUCGAGAUUUAUACUCCGAAGAAUGCCGUGGAGAGCAGCUCGGGAGAGGCCUGCACCGUGGAUCGAGAGGAACCAUGGCACGAGGAAGGGAGAUCGGGGUGAACUCUCUGAGGAGGAGACGCGUGGUACUGGAAGAAGAGGUCGAUGGAAGUCCCCGCUGCAACACGGCGCGUUCUACACCCCCGCAAACAUACGGGCCCCAUUGUGUACCCUUAGGGGCUGGCACCCCGUGGCGGUUUCGCCGGAGCCGUGGAGAUACGAGCCGAGAUACGGCAGCGUUUAUAGAACGUACACCAUGUUUCUUCAGUGAAAAGCUGCGUAUACGAGGUAGCCUGAAAACCGUUGGCUUGCUUGCAAGCUGUCGGGGAAAAGCGAGAUGGAAAAGGGGUGGAGAGAGUGAAAGCGGCCGGUAUGUAUGCGGUGUAUGUGAUUCGACAAGGAAGGUCGAAUGUCGCGAGUUCCGCGAAUACGCGCCGACUGAAUAGAUUUGCACAAAUGAAGUCGGAGCUCUCACAGUCAGCCGACGAUUCAGCAAGCUUACGCCCUCUCGUUAUUUUUUACACUUAUUUCCCUCCCCUUCGCUCGUGUUGCACGAUCCACGCGUUCUGUCUCUCGCUUCAAGCUCCUCUCAUUCACCUUUGAACGCGACCGCGUUAGAGAUAGUACAACGAUGUUUGCUUUAUUACGAGCAUUGGGAUAAUCAAGCCUUCAAACAGGCUUGUGCGAGUCUCUCUUUUUCGUUGAAAGAUUCUCCGCUUGUUCCACGGUGGAUAUAUUACUGUGAGAAUGAAAAUUUCCAUAUGAAAUUUUUCUUCCUUCUACCCAAUUACAUUACGAAAAGAAUGGCAAUUGAAGACAACUCUGCCCCCCCCUCCCUAGUAAUUCGAGUAAGCGAACAAAAGACAACUCUUGCAAUUUCUAUAUGCGCGUAUCUCGUAACAGUGCUAAUAAAAUUUGAAAAUCUAAGAGAAAGUUAUCUCAAUUAAUCGAAAUCGCUAUAUUUAGUUUAACUAUACCAGAGCAACGAAACAUCACCGCAAGCUCGAUCUUUAACAAGGAAUCGAUAAGGUUGUAAAACAACUCGGUGGAGUCACCGCGGAGUCCAGUUUGAGCAGCGCGGAUACAAAAAGAGAGGAAGUCAAAGAUGACUAUCGUUCAUCGCUCUCGUCCCCAGGGAGAGAAAGAUAUAUCCCGGGGGCUGGAGAGCCGUGGUAACGUGGGGUAAAGACCGUCGAGGGAUGAGAAGUCAGGCUACCACCGCCGUUCCACCUUAUCACCUACCAAAUAAUAGAGGCAUAUUGAAUAGAUAGGCGAGGCCAACCGAUGUGUAUCCGAUCCACAACGUCUCCGGGGGAUAUUAAGGAAUCGGCCCUUUUCCACGCCCUUCGAGUAUCGCGUGGAACGCUAUCGCGAGUAGAGAAGAAGUGUUUUCGAAUAAAUCCGCAGUCCUCUCACGUUCGACGUGCCACCCUCGCGGCGAGGAAAAGGUUUCUUUUCCCGGCCUCUCUUUCUUCGGAUACAAACAAAUUCCGUGUUGCCGUGAAAUCGAUCCGUGACACGGAUUGAUUUCCAUGCGGAGAAUGCCGCUUCCUUCGCUCUGGACAGACGCGGUGACGCGAAACACGAGCACCUUCGUGUUACCCGUUUUGCCACUGGAUGUUGCAGAAUCGAAACGGUUUUGUGGAUUUGUUGGCAUUGAGAUUUCUGAAGGUGGCAUGGUAUUUUUCCGAUAAUAUUUUUGCAGUUUCUUUACAAAACGACAAAAUUAAAUCUUAAUCUAUUCAAAGGAUUAACGAUCAUUUAUAAGUUCAACUUAGCAAAUGUCAGGAAUCGAAAUUAAUUCCUACUCUCUUAACAUUCAGAUUCUUCAAUUUUAUAUUCUUCACUGUUACCGCUCCUGUUUCCACCGACCAUUGCUUACAGCAUAUUGUACAUUUUCCGCGGUGUACUCUUUAAAUCCGACAACGAACCACGCGAUUCUCUUGUGCAAGGGUUGCAUACGAGCAACACACGUUCGCAAAACAACACAGGAGCACGAUCCCGUGCGUAUCCCACGCGUAAACUGUUCGUACAAUUUCCGGAAAGUGAAAGAAAAUCAGGCAGAGAAAAGAGGAAAGGCGAUCGAGUUGAACGAGAGAAUAAGGGAGAAACGAAAUCCGUGUGUUCGGUGGCUGGCAGCGUAUUGGAUUUGUUGGCGGUGUGUUGAACAAAUGAUUGCGCAGCUACCGCCAUGGAAAAACUUGGCUGGAAACGGCUCCAUUCGACUAUUCCUACGGUUUCUCUUGGUUUCCUUCGCCUCGAGACCGACCGAGGGUUGUCGAACCAAGAAAGUUUACGGGCUACAAAGCGCUGCUGGAGAAAGAGCCACGCGAGAAAGACGGAGAGACUACAAUCGUCUCUCGAACCUUGCCCAACCCCUCUUUUCCUUCGACCGCCCUCUUUUCCACUCGAACCACGCGCGUACGCGUACGUUUUACGUGACUGGGCUAUGGUAGUGGUGGCUGAAAAUUCACAGUCUCGCGUUCGAUCGAGAGUCGGCUGGCUGUUAGCAUUUUCCACGACAAGUUGGUUACCGUGUCGCGUGUAAAGGAAAACCAGACGAACCUAGAACCCGAAUUGUUCCUUCGUUUUCGCGUUGAUUCUAUUUUCAUUUUUAAACUGGAUGGAAGAAAAACAACGUACAAAAAGAAUUUAUUAGGAAAUUCGACUAUAGAAUUACGAAUGAGCAGGACCCUCCUGUACAACAAUUUGCCAAUUAACGAUAUCCGUGUAUCGACAAGUUACAAAUUAUAACUUAUAGACUUUAUUUUUAUGAUUCUACAAUUUUUCGUCAAAUCGGAUAAUCGGAUACCUUGUAAUUUGUAAAAUGUAUCUGUAAAAUUUUGCUAAAAGUAUUAAAUUAAUUGC